AGCAGCCGCGGUAAUUCCAGCUCCAAUAGCGUAUAUUAAAGUUGCUGCAGUUAAAAAGCUCGUAGUUGAAUUUCGGGACCAUCAUGUCGGUCGUGCCUCGGUACGUACUGGCAUUGUUGGUUUCUCCCUUCUGACGAACCAUGAUGUCAUUUAUUUGGUGUCGUGGGAAAUCAGGACUGUUACUUUGAAAAAAUUAGAGUGUUUAAAGCAGGCUCACGCUUGAAUACAUUAGCAUGGAAUAAUGAAAUAGGACGUUUGAUUCUAUUUUGUUGGUUUCUAGGAUCGACGUAAUGAUUAAUAGGGAUAGUUGGGGGCAUUAGUAUUCAAUUGUCAGAGGUGAAAUUCUUGGAUUUAUUGAAGACUAACUACUGCGAAAGCAUUUGCCAAGGAUGUUUUCAUUAAUCAAGAACGAAAGUUAGGGGAUCGAAGACGAUCAGAUACCGUCGUAGUCUUAACCAUAAACUAUGCCGACUAGGGAUCGGAUGAUGUUAAUUUUUUAAUGACUCAUUCAGCGCCUUACG
Molecule: ribosomal RNA, 521 nt
Filed under: uncultured Glomus
Lineage: Eukaryota; Fungi; Glomeromycota; Glomeromycetes; Glomerales; Glomeraceae
Description: SSU rRNA
Rfam family: Eukaryotic small subunit ribosomal RNA
Source: RNAcentral